Molecule: ribosomal RNA, 253 nt
Filed under: uncultured bacterium
Lineage: Bacteria
Description: partial 16S ribosomal RNA
Rfam family: Bacterial small subunit ribosomal RNA
Source: RNAcentral
UACGUAGGGUGCAAGCGUUGUCCGGAAUUAUUGGGCGUAAAGAGCGUGUAGGCGGUUCGGUAAGUCUGUCGUGAAAACCUGGGGCUCAACCCCAGGCGUGCGGUGGAUACUGCCGGGCUAGAGUUCGGAAGAGGCGAGUGGAAUUCCCGGUGUAGCGGUGAAAUGCGCAGAUAUCGGGAGGAACACCUAUGGCGAAGGCAGCUCGCUGGGACGUUACUGACGCUGAGACGCGAAAGCGUGGGGAGCAAACAGG